RNAcentral lists this ribosomal RNA (643 nucleotides) under uncultured Actinomycetes bacterium. RNAcentral describes it as "bacterial SSU rRNA". It matches the Rfam family "Bacterial small subunit ribosomal RNA", at positions 232 to 885 of the family's 1533-position model. Lineage: Bacteria; Bacillati; Actinomycetota; Actinomycetes. The record is from RNAcentral.
CGCGGCCUAUCAGCUUGUUGGUGAGGUAAUGGCUCACCAAGGCGACGACGGGUAGCCGGCCUGAGAGGGUGACCGGCCACACUGGGACUGAGACACGGCCCAGACUCCUACGGGAGGCAGCAGUGGGGAAUAUUGCACAAUGGGCGAAAGCCUGAUGCAGCGACGCCGCGUGAGGGAUGACGGCCUUCGGGUUGUAAACCUCUUUCAGCAGGGAAGAAGCGAAAGUGACGGUACCUGCAGAAGAAGCGCCGGCUAACUACGUGCCAGCAGCCGCGGUAAUACGUAGGGCGCAAGCGUUGUCCGGAAUUAUUGGGCGUAAAGAGCUCGUAGGCGGUUUGUCGCGUCUGCCGUGAAAGUCCGGGGCUCAACUCCGGAUCUGCGGUGGGUACGGGCAGACUAGAGUGAUGUAGGGGAGACUGGAAUUCCUGGUGUAGCGGUGAAAUGCGCAGAUAUCAGGAGGAACACCGGUGGCGAAGGCGGUUCUCUGGGCAUUACCUGACGCUGAGGAGCGAAAGCGUGGGUAGCAAACAGGAUUAGAUACCCUGGUAGUCCACGCCGUAAACGUUGGGCGCUAGGUGUGGGACACAUUCCACGUGUUCCGUGCCGCAGCUAACGCAUUAAGCGCCCCGCCUGGGGAGUACGG